Molecule: ribosomal RNA, 446 nt
Filed under: Phimochirus sp. ULLZ 9677
Lineage: Eukaryota; Metazoa; Arthropoda; Malacostraca; Decapoda; Paguridae
Description: partial large subunit ribosomal RNA
Rfam family: Bacterial large subunit ribosomal RNA
Source: RNAcentral
GCUCACUGAAUUUUAUUUAAAGAGCCGCAGUAUCCUGACUGUGCGAAGGUAGCAUAAUAGGUUGUCCUUUAAUUGAGGGCUUGAAUGAACGGUUGGACAAAGUAUCAGCUGUUUCUUAAAUACUAAUUGAAUUUUACUUUUAAGUGAAAAGGCUUAAAUUUUCCAAAAAGACGAUAAGACCCUAUAAAUCUUUACAAAAGUUUUGCUUUAAGUCCUAAGUUGAGUGUAGUUUGGUAAUAAAGUAAGAUUGUGUUUUGCUGGGGCGGCGUAGAUAUAUUUUCAAACUGUUUAUAUUUUAUAAUCAAUUAAUUAUUGUACAUUACGAUCCUUUUAGAGAUUAAAAGAUUAAGAUACUUUAGGGAUAACAGCGUUAUUUUUUCUGAGAGUUCAUAUCGAAGAGAAAGUUUGCGACCUCGAUGUUGAAUUAAGGUUUCUUGGAGGUGCAG